GGGAGGUGUUUGAGAGAACGGAGAGACAUCUGUUGUCACAGGCUGAGAAGUAGCUUCUUCCCAGUCUCCCUUGGGACAUACUCACUUCUCCCCGCUCCCCACACCCCAGCCCACCAUCCUCACCCAUAGAAGCCUUCGUGCCCUUCCCCUUCUGUACAGACUCGGUCUUACCACCUUUCCCUGCCAUCAGCUUCUCUCCACUGCUCCAUUUCUUCUUGAAGCAGAAGCCGGGUCAGGGCGCUGCCUGAAGUUCAAGGGGCUGCAGGUCUCAGUGACACUAGGGUUGCCAUCGCCACCACCCUGAAGAGUUGUGCCCACGCCACUGCUCCGGUGCUGCAGAACACACAGAAGGAGGUCACAGCAGCAGGGAGAAAGCCGUCCGGAGCCAUGUGUAUUGGAAGGUCUUCUGCCAUCACAGCUGUUUGAUCUCAGAUAAUGAAGCUGUUAUUUAGAAGUUAGACUAAGAGAGGAUUGUUUACACAGAGGAGGACUCAUCACAAGCACUGCUGAGAACUGCAGGCUCAUGGAACAAAACUGCUAACAACUUUCAGUCCACUUUCUGGCUGUGUAGGGAAUACAUGGAUGUUUCUGGAAGCAAUGACCAAUGCUCCUUGCCUUGAUGAGAAUUUCACUGGGUUUAGGGACAGCUUUUGCCCUCUUAGGACCUGAUCUUUGAAGACUGCAAACAGGUCUAGAAAAAAUGAGUUCAAUUCAGUAGCCGACAACUGCCCAUCCACUGUUGAGCCUACUAAUAACUUAUGCUUGGUUCUUGCAAUGCUAGAGGUCCUGAUGUUAAUCUUGAAAAAAUCAAGACUGAUUGAAAAACAUGUUAAAAAUGUGACUUUGUAAAAAAAUGUCUGAAGACCUUGAGGAAAACCCAGGACAAACAGUGGCCUGAUACAGUCAAGGCAAAACUUUGUGUUAACUUCAGAGAUUUUAUUUUGUAUUAAGGCCUUGUUUCAGCUGAUACUUAUUUGAAGUUAUUGAAUGCACAUAAGAAAUAAAAAAGAAUAGGAAAUAAAUUGGAGCCUUUGGAAAUACAGAUAUAAUUGUGGAUAAGAACUGGGUAAUUUAAUGUGAAUAAUUAUGCUCAUACAGUUGGUUAGCAAAACUGGGCUGGAUUCCGGAAUCCAUUUUCUCUAUCUACCAACUCCUCACUGGGGACUUUUGCUAUGAGAGUGCCUGGCCACCUGGCUGAGAAUGGAAAAUGAAGUUAUUCAUGUUCUUGUAGCACACAGAAAUAAUAAUUCUGACAAAUAAAGAAGGCAAUGAUAAUGUGAGACAAGUCUCUACCCUCAUGACAUUCUCAACUAGAGGCUGAGUAGAGCGAACUUGGCCCCAGCUCAGACAGAUCUGAAUUCAUAUCCAAUCAGACAGUCAUUCUUUCAACCAACAUCUGAUACUGGUGAGUGUGCCUCAAUCUUUACUACAAUCUCUUAAAUUAUUUUUCUAUGAGUAUCUUGCAUCAUGCACGUUUGACACACGGGGAGUAGUUUGAUGAGAGCCACAAUCAAGCACAAAAAGAGUCAACAGAAACAGACACAUAGAUGACCCAAGCAAGGACUUUUAAAAGGUGAUAAUAGAUGUGUCAAGGCAAAACUGGAAAGGCAGAAGAAAACGGAUGGAAAGAGAGAGAAAAAAUGUCCACUUGGAUGCAGCUGAAAGAGCACCAAGGGAUUGUUAGAAUAAAAUAGCAGGGGAGGAGCAGAACAAGAGUGGUCUAGUUUAAAUAUUAUUAAAAGCCCCAAAGAAGGGGGAGAGAUAAUGCAACAAAAUGGUGAUAUGGAUGUCAUUGCUGACCUAGAAUUGUCUGAACUCAACCCUCAGAAGCUGUGCAACCCCCAACAAGAGGGAUGUGGUAAAGACACUGACAUCCAGGCACACCGUAGUCAAUCUGCUGAAACCAAAGAAAGAUCAAAAGAGAAAUCUAACCAGCAAGCAGAGGGAAAAGCCUGAUUCCUCAAAAGGGCAACAUGAAGAAUUGCUGCAGUUCUCAACAGAGGCUGUGGAACUUAAAAAGAAAUAGAAUUAUCUUUACCAAGAGAAAAAAAAAAGUAUCAAGCAAUUUAGCAUUAGACACCUAGCAAAACCCUUCAAAGGUGAGUGACGAAUUUCUCCCCAGAAACUGACAGAAUGAAUAAAGAAGCAUAAGCUACAGACAGAAAGCAAACAGUACAUCUAUCCACAGCCCUGGAUACAGGCUAUAUAAAGAACUCUUAGAAUUCAAUAGUAAGAAGAUAAUCCCUUAAAAUGGCCAAAAAUAUUUUGACCUACACGCCACCCCAAAACAAUCAAACGAAUCCAAUACACAGAAAUGGCUGUUGGAAACACGAGAAAUUGUUCCAAGUUUGUUACUUACUAGGAAAAUAAAUGUAAACCAAACUUGCUGCUUACUCCCUCGAAUGGCUGAAGUGAAAUGGACAAAAACUGCCAACAGUUAGUACAAUUGAAACUCUUACCAUUGAUGAUAAGAAUGUAGAACUGUACAACUGUGGUAAAUUGGAGUUUUCUUAUGUACUAAACAUAUAAUUACUUACACAAUCUAGCAAACCUUUGCUCAGCAAAGAAAGAUCUCAGGCAAUUCAUAGCUGUUUUUUCAUGAUAAAUAGAUCCCAGAAAUAAUACAGGUGCCAACCAGCAGGGUAAGGAAGAAACACCUUCCCUUGGAUGAAGGAAAACAUCUCCAGUUUCAAGGACAGGGGACUCUUGAAGAGGUGUGUGUGUGUGUGUGUGUGUUCUUGUUUCUUUCCUGUUGAUGUGAUAGAUCAUCCUUCCCAAAAGCAACCAUGGAGGAAAGGAUAUAUUUGGCUCACACAUCCCAAUCACAAUCCAUUAUCAAAGGAAGUUAGGGGAGAAACUUGGAGGUAGGAACCAUGGAUGAAUGUUGUUUGCUAUCUCCCCUACUGAUUCAUACUUUGCUAGCUUUUCAUUCAGCCUAAGAAUUGUCUUGCUCACAUUGGUUAUUCUCUCCAACAUCAGUUAAUAAGACAGUCACUCAUAUCCAUGGCCACAGAGGAAGCUGAUCUAGGCAAUUACUGAAGUGAAUUCCUUUUUACGAUCGUGUCAAAUUAACAAUGUGUGUCAAAUUGACAGCACAGUGUGACUGCUUAAAGCAACAAUAAUAACUUUAUAUUAAUGGCAUCUAUGACAUAGGAAGCACAAAUCCACAACAACAUAUAGGAUAGAGUUGGAAAAUCAAUGAUAAGUUCAUAGUUUUAAGAACA
Mus musculus (house mouse) is the source of this 3224-nucleotide long non-coding RNA. RefSeq annotates it as predicted gene, 35797. The record is from RefSeq and is a predicted model, not a curated record. The transcript is spliced from 5 exons. NCBI's taxonomy places the organism in Eukaryota, Metazoa, Chordata, Mammalia, Rodentia, Muridae.